Non-coding RNA from Xyrichtys novacula (pearly razorfish), 916 nucleotides. Lineage: Eukaryota; Metazoa; Chordata; Actinopteri; Labriformes; Labridae. The record is from the annotation of a GenBank genome assembly.
UUAGGGUUAGGGUUAAAGGGAAAGGAAACUUAACUUCAUAUGGAAAGGAAACUUAACUUCAAAGGAAACUUAACUUCAAAUUUAAACUUUUCUUAAAACAAAAUGCUGAUUGUUUUAAUAAAAAUUAAAAUAAAAUGUAUUUCCAACUGUUUUUAAAUGGUUUUAAAUAUUUUUAAAUGUUUUUUAAGUUUUAAUCUAGUUUUUAAAUGUUUUUAGAUUUUUUUGUUAUUUUUUAAACUUUUUUUCUCUAAAUAAACUAUGUACAAUCAAAUAUGUGUGCCCACGACAACGUUUCGACCCCUUGUGGGUCUUCUUCAGGUCUGGCACACCUCACUCAACAAAAAAACUCUCUCUUGAAUGAAAAACAAAAGAUGCUGGCUGGUAAUUCUAAAGAUGUUCUCUCUUCAAGCUUCUGAGUGGAAAUGAAAGCCCUACCAACUUUUCUCCCUUUUUAUACCCUCAGACAAUAAUUAGAGUGAAUUUACUUAUAUUUAAGUUAUUUUCUGCUCUAUUUAGUUUUUGAAAUGUUAACCCUUUCUGCACCGUUUGUGCUUUUAAUCCAUAUUAAUUAUGUUUAUUCACAUAUUUGUGCUUUAAUAAACAUAUUAAUAGGUAUUUUUUAAUCCCAAGAUUAGGGUUACGGUCCUGCUUGACCUUUGACCUCUGUGGCCUGCUUGGCCGUUGGUCAUUAAGUUGCCUCUAAUGGUUAGGGUUAGGGUUAGGGGUUAGGGUUAGGGUUAAGGUUAGGAGGCUCCCACUUCUCCUAUGUGUCCUGAAGAGCAAACAUCUCACAGACAUACUCAGACAAGUCCGGACAUGUUUCUUUUUGUGCCCAUAGCCUGAAGAAGACCCACAGCGGUCGAAACGUUGCAACUGGGCACUCUUUAUCACACCUUUUCUUUAUUUCUUCCUCCUC